Molecule: ribosomal RNA, 2100 nt
Filed under: Triticum aestivum (bread wheat)
Lineage: Eukaryota; Viridiplantae; Streptophyta; Magnoliopsida; Poales; Poaceae
Description: partial small subunit ribosomal RNA
Source: RNAcentral
AUGGCAACGAGCCAAGUGUCCUGCAAUAUGCUUGAACUGGAACAAAACGUUGGCAAUAUCGUACUAGGUUCUCAGUUGUCAUUGACAAUGAGCUCUGAGGAUACAGAGAAGGGCAAUAAUGAUGAGGAGGAAGUCGAAGGCGAAGCUGAGAAGAUGAAGAAAGAGCAGUCCCAGAAGGAGUCCAAGAAAAGGAAGGAAAUGGAGCCAAGGAGUAACAAGCUGCUAACUGUUGAAGAUACAACAUAUGAGGAGGACGACAUUAAGUGUGCACUCACUGCCUGGGGGUUUGAACCUGAGAAGAUGAGAUAUGCUCUUGCUAAAAUGAUAAUUAUGGAUGGUCUCCCAUUUGCAUUUUCCGAGAGACCAGGAUUCAGAAAGUUGAUGUCAAAGGCAUGUCCUUGGUUUAAUGUCCCAUCUAGGAGAACCACUAUUAGAGAUUGUGUCUCCAUUUAUUAUCGUGAGAAAGAGAAACUGGAGAAGUUCUUUAAAGAAAACUGUGAAAGAGUCAGCCUAACAACCAACACCUGGACAUCUAUGCAACAGCAGAGCUAUAUGUGUGUUACGGCUCAUUUCCUUGACACUGACUGGAAGCUACAUAAGAGGAUUAUUGGGUUCUUCUUGAUUAGUUGUCGUAAUGGGGAAGACAUUGGGAAGGACAUCGAGAGGUGUUUGGUGUAUUGGGGCUUAGAGAAAGUGUUCUCAAUAACUGUUGACGAUGCAUCAGCAAAUGAUGGCACUAUAAGUUACUUGAAGAUGGUUAUGAACAAUGCUAAAACCAGCAUCGCAGAAGGACAAUAUUUUCACAUGAGAUGUGCUACCCAUGUCACAAACUUGAUAGUUUCAGAUUUCCUAAGAGAGUUGGAUAUCCCAGUGCAGCGAGUCCGUGCUGCUGUCCGUUUUAUCAGAAAUUCUCCAUCUAGAAUUACUCGAUUUAAGAGGUGUGCUGACUUGGAGAAGGUGGACAGCAAAGCAUUCUUACCACUUGAUGUAUGCACAAAAUGGAACUCCACAUACCUAAUGUUGAAAACUGCAGCCACAUAUGAGAAGGUGUUCGAUAGGUAUGGCGAUGAUGACCCUUACUUUGCAACUGAGUUAAAUAGUGAGGAAGAGCCAGGAGUUCCUGAAGCUGCAGAUUGGGAGUAUGCAAGGAAGAUCUCAGAGUUUCUUGAGCCUUUUUAUAACCUCACUGUUCUUGUUUCAGCCUAUAAUCGUUGCACAUCUCACAUUUUUUUCCAUGAAAUUGCUGAUGUUUAUAUCUUGCUGAGAGAGUGGUGUGAGAGUACCGAUGCUUUGCGGAAGGAAAUGGCUGAAAGGAUGAUUGCUAAGUACAACAAGUAUUGGGGUGAUCAUGAGAGCUUCAACAUUCUGAUCUUUGUGGCAGUUGCUCUUGAUCCAAGGUACAAGUUGUCAGAUUACACAAGGUUUGCUACUUCUGAGAUGUUUGGUGAGGUCAAAGGAGAAGAAGUUUGGAAAAUGAUGAGUGAAACACUUGAUGACUUGUUUAAGGAGUAUGGCAAGAUGUAUGCUUCAAGUGAGAAGAAGGAAAUGGAAUCCGAUUUGGUGCAAGGCAUGAGCUUGAUGAGGUCCCUAAUUGCCAAGAGGAUGAGAAUGAACAACUCUGUGGUUGGUCCGACAAAGUCUGAACUUGAGAAAUAUCUUGCCGAGGAGACUGAAGCACACCCUGCCAAAUUUGAUAUUCUCCAGUGGUGGAAGGUCAAAUCUUCUAGAUUCCCAGUAUUAUCCCGGCUAGCUCGUGAUGUCUUGGCUGUCCCGAUAUCUGCAGUUUCCUCUGAGUUCGCCUUCAGCACUGGUGGACGUAUCCUUGACGAGUUUAGGAGCUCUCUUACUCCAUUCAUUCUCCAAGCACUCAUUUGUACUCAGGAUUGGAUGCUGGGAUCAGCUCCUGUAAAUGAUGAAGAGGAUACAGAGCAGUUGACCGAAGUAGUGGAAGAAUUACUUGAAGAAAUGGUUGGCCUCAACGUAGCUCUAGUGAUAAUAAUUCCAUCCCCGAUGAUGCAUGAUUCCGCAUCAUAUAAAUCUGGUUCGGAGCCUUGGGAAAUCUUGCUGCCUCGCAGAUAUGGAGAGAUGGAGUUGGAGUGA